AGGUGGAGGGUCUGCAGAGUUCCAUCCCGCUGUUCCUCCAUCAUCUUUGAAGCUUGCUGGCUGCCAGCAAGCUUCAUUUCGAGCCAAUCAGACAGAAUCCUGGACAGGAAAUGAUGUGUUUACUAUUCCACGAGUCAGAUCCUCAACAGACUGCUGCGCCGGAGCGCUCGGAGCCAGCGCCUUCAAUUUGAAGCGAGGGUCCACGAAGCAAGGAGCUGCCGGGAAACCUCUCAUCUGUCUCUUCAGCUGCCGGCGCACCGCUACCACAUCACGCCACCUAUUUGGACAGAUAAGUAGACAAAAGAAAAUGGAGCCAAAUGUCAUCGAUUUGCGCAAGCUUCGACUUUUCGUACCUUUUGAUGUACUUGCGAGCGCGCUGCAGCUCAGCCGUGAGCAUUUCUUCGACUAGCAGAGCAAUGUCUGCUUUCAAAGUGUCCUCAAUGAAACUAGUGCAGACUUCUUGAGAACAUUUAGCGAUACAGCGUGCUUUCUCAUCCACCGCUUGCCUGAAAAGGAUGAAAUCUGUCAUUCGGUUCCCAAAGUAGGGCGAAACCAUCUUGAAAAAGAAUCGCCAAUGCAAUUCCCAUUGAAUAUGUGACUGAGCCUUACCGGAAGACCGCGGCGGCAAUCUCCUUGAUAGUCUCAUCUAAUACUUCCUGCGUGAUCUCUGCGAACAAAGAGAGCCUGAACUUGGACAAAAGGUUCUCGAGCUCCUGUCUCCGCCUGAAACAGAGAGAGCCACCCGUUCGUUUGUCUUGUGAUCACAGCACCAGAAAAUGGGUAUUUUGGUGAAAGCAUUAAGGAAGUCAAUUUAAAUGAGAUUUAAAGAGGACAAUAGUGGACGAACCUUGCUUCCUCAAUCCUGCGUUGCUCUUCAGCGACACGCUCUUGUUCCAGAAGGAUCUGGCUAGAAGACAAUUCUUGUAGCACUUCACCUAAAACUUCAUUCAGUACGGACUCUGCCUGCACGCUGCUCUCACUGCAGAUAUAGUAUUGAAAAAAAAUAGAUUCACCGUUAUCAGGAGAAAAUUGUAGCAGGGCACAGUCAGUUUCCCCGCUUUCAAAAGAAUCUUUCAAUAUGCAUGACAAAUUAUGCAAACUUACACAAGUGCUGCUGCGGCAUAAGCGGCACCGUCAGCAGCUACCGCUCUUGCCGAUGUCUCAACCAUUUCGUCAAUCAAACAGUCCACUUCGGCCGUAAUGUCCUGGGCAUAGAGGGAGGGGGGGGGGGAAAAAACCCCCAAAAAAAACAGCCCCCGUUACAUGAAAUCUGACCUAUGAAACUAAGAAAGUCAAAUCUUUUUCCCACCUCAUCGCUGAACGCUGGUUGAGGUGACGGUGCUUUGACAGCGGGAGGCUGCGCUACAGGCUGGAGGAGCUGCGCUGCUUCAGCUUGGAGGGCCACGUUUGGGAAAGAAAUGCUGGACUCGGUCUUCUCUGCUCUCAGCCCAAAAACAUUGGGGACAUCAGGUGAAACUUGGGUCUGGAAUUGGAUGCUGGGCGGGGCCUUCACUUCUACUUUGGCAGCAAUAGCUAAAGAAACGAAAGCAAAAUCGAUGACGAGACGGCAAAGGUUUCCAGUAGAAUCAAUCCAUGCGUUGGGGUGACAAUACCUUUCAAUUGAUUGGGUGCAGACUCAGUCAAGGGGCCUUCUCCUCUGUAUUUGUUGUAAGAGUCAAAGGUGCAGACAGGUUUGUGCUGAGGGGGAUUGGGGAGGGGGCCUCCAUUCACCACUUCCCCAGUCGAUGUUGUUUUCUUAGCCUGAAUGACCUGAGACUUCUUCUGGGAUAGCACCUCCGGCUCCUGAUAGGCUACCCGAUUCAGAUCCACCACACUGUCAACACAACGUGGAACAGGAAAAGCAGUUGAGCGCGGACCCACGGUGUGAGCAGCGUUCAAGGUCUUCAAUCCUUUUGCUCGGACCUGCACAUUGUUUUACAAAGUAAAGGCAAUUAAUGGUUGCACCUCUUUGUCUUUGAUAGUCCUACGUAAUAAGCAAGUGAAAGUGCAUCUCUGUCACUUGACUAAAAAUGGUUAUUGGAU
Long non-coding RNA from Syngnathus acus (greater pipefish), 2043 nucleotides. RefSeq lists it as uncharacterized. The transcript is spliced from 3 exons. The record is from RefSeq and is a predicted model, not a curated record. Lineage: Eukaryota; Metazoa; Chordata; Actinopteri; Syngnathiformes; Syngnathidae.